Molecule: ribosomal RNA, 571 nt
Filed under: Alternaria alternata
Lineage: Eukaryota; Fungi; Ascomycota; Dothideomycetes; Pleosporales; Pleosporaceae
Also listed under: 3 other names
Description: eukaryotic LSU rRNA
Rfam family: 5.8S ribosomal RNA (bases 196-349)
Source: RNAcentral
UCCGUAGGUGAACCUGCGGAGGGAUCAUUACACAAAUAUGAAGGCGGGCUGGAACCUCUCGGGGUUACAGCCUUGCUGAAUUAUUCACCCUUGUCUUUUGCGUACUUCUUGUUUCCUUGGUGGGUUCGCCCACCACUAGGACAAACAUAAACCUUUUGUAAUUGCAAUCAGCGUCAGUAACAAAUUAAUAAUUACAACUUUCAACAACGGAUCUCUUGGUUCUGGCAUCGAUGAAGAACGCAGCGAAAUGCGAUAAGUAGUGUGAAUUGCAGAAUUCAGUGAAUCAUCGAAUCUUUGAACGCACAUUGCGCCCUUUGGUAUUCCAAAGGGCAUGCCUGUUCGAGCGUCAUUUGUACCCUCAAGCUUUGCUUGGUGUUGGGCGUCUUGUCUCUAGCUUUGCUGGAGACUCGCCUUAAAGUAAUUGGCAGCCGGCCUACUGGUUUCGGAGCGCAGCACAAGUCGCACUCUCUAUCAGCAAAGGUCUAGCAUCCAUUAAGCCUUUUUUUCAACUUUUGACCUCGGAUCAGGUAGGGAUACCCGCUGAACUUAAGCAUAUCAAUAAGCGGAGGAA